UACGAAGGGGGCUAGCGUUGUUCGGAAUUACUGGGCGUAAAGCGCGCGCAGGCGGUUUCUCAAGUCAGUGGUGAAAGCCCGGAGCUCAACUCCGGAACUGCCAUUGAAACUGUGAAACUUGAGGACGAGAGAGGUGAGUGGAAUUCCCAGUGUAGCGGUGAAAUGCGCAGAUAUCAGGAGGAACACCGGUGGCGAAGGCGGGUCUCUGGGCCGAUGAUUGACGCUGAGGAGCGAAAGCGUGGGGAGCGAACAGG
This 254-nucleotide ribosomal RNA is filed under the name uncultured bacterium. RNAcentral describes it as "partial 16S ribosomal RNA". It matches the Rfam family "Bacterial small subunit ribosomal RNA", at positions 524 to 776 of the family's 1533-position model. The record is from RNAcentral.